ACGUUCUGUAGCUCAGUUUGGUAGAGCAACGCAUUCAUAACGCGUCUGUCGCGGGUUCGAUUCCCGCCGAACGCC
RNAcentral lists this transfer RNA (75 nucleotides) under Rhodoferax sp. Its description in RNAcentral is "tRNA-Met". It matches the Rfam family "tRNA". Rfam says of the family: Transfer RNA (tRNA) molecules are approximately 80 nucleotides in length. Their secondary structure includes four short double-helical elements and three loops (D, anti-codon, and T loops). The record is from RNAcentral. Lineage: Bacteria; Pseudomonadati; Pseudomonadota; Betaproteobacteria; Burkholderiales; Comamonadaceae.